This 497-nucleotide ribosomal RNA is filed under the name uncultured bacterium. RNAcentral describes it as "partial 16S ribosomal RNA". It matches the Rfam family "Bacterial small subunit ribosomal RNA", at positions 28 to 507 of the family's 1533-position model. The record is from RNAcentral.
GAUGAACGCUGGCGGCGUGCCUAAUACAUGCAAGUCGAGCGAACAGACGAGGAGCUUGCUCCUCUGACGUUAGCGGCGGACGGGUGAGUAACACGUGGAUAACCUACCUAUAAGACUGGGAUAACUUCGGGAAACCGGAGCUAAUACCGGAUAAUAUAUUGAACCGCAUGGUUCAAUAGUGAAAGACGGUUUUGCUGUCACUUAUAGAUGGAUCCGCGCCGCAUUAGCUAGUUGGUAAGGUAACGGCUUACCAAGGCAACGAUGCGUAGCCGACCUGAGAGGGGGAUCGGCCACACUGGAACUGAGACACGGUCCAGACACCUACGGGAGGCAGCAGUAGGGAAUCUUCCGCAAUGGGCGAAAGCCUGACGGAGCAACGCCGCGUGAGUGAUGAAGGUGUUCGGAUCGUAAAACUCUGUUAUGAGGGAAGAAAAAAUGUGUAAGUAACUAUGCACGUCUUGACGGUAACUAAUCAGAAAGCCACGGCUAACUACGUG